RNAcentral lists this small RNA (3171 nucleotides) under Pongo abelii (Sumatran orangutan). Its description in RNAcentral is "processed transcript". The record is from RNAcentral. Lineage: Eukaryota; Metazoa; Chordata; Mammalia; Primates; Hominidae.
AUUCAUGCACUCUUCCAUCUUUUUGCCAUUGUGCCAGCUCAAUUUAAAUGUAUCUGCUCUGUAUCUGUUCAAGUGGAGAUAAUCCAUGCAAAUCAGGAGCCGUGGCUCUCAAUGCCUGGUUCACAGAGAGGACUCAGCUUGAGGAGGUCACUCGUUCACAGCCGCUCCUCCCAUUAUAUUUUUCCCCUUAUUGCAGAACUGCUGUAUGUAUACAGCGACUGAAAGGACUCAAUUUACUGCAACUGCUGCCUGGCUUUACUUACAACUUUUUUUUUUUUUUUUUUUUUUUUUUUUUUUUUUAUAAAGGAACUUACCUCCAUCUGUCUUUUCAAGGUUACAGACUACUUACUCUAAACUUCACAAAUGGUUCUGAAGAGUAUGGAGCCUACGUAGAUUCAUAAGUUACAAGAUCACUGCUUGGCAAUACUAGGAGAUGUGCAUCUAAAAUGACAAACUGAUCCUGGCACUUGCUACUUAUUACAGAGCCCAAUGUUUCCAAAGGACAUUAAUUUUGAUUUCUCCAAUGAAGGCUUGUGGCUGUCCUUAUGCUUUACAAAACAUUACCAAAUCAGAGCCGAAAAGAAAACUGGUAUUUAUGGCACAAUGAAAAAUUUCAUCUUUCCCAGAAUGAUAUGAAGAUGAAUGAUGCAGACUGAUGGUUUUGAUGAAGCUGGGCAUUUAUAACUAGAUUCAUUAAGGAAUACAAAGAAAAUAUUUAAAGGGAUCAAUAAUGGUGUCUUCUGGUUGCAGAAUGCGAAGUCUGUGGUUUAUCAUUGUAAUCAGCUUCUUACCGAAUAUAGAAGGUUUCAGCAGAGCAGCUUUACCAUUUGGGCUGGUGAGGCGAGAAUUAUCCUGUGAAGGUUAUUCUAUAGAUCUGCGAUGCCCGGGCAGUGAUGUCAUCAUGAUUGAGAGCGCUAACUAUGGUCGGACGGAUGACAAGAUUUGUGAUGCUGACCCAUUUCAGAUGGAGAAUACAGACUGCUACCUCCCCGAUGCCUUCAAAAUUAUGACUCAAAGGUGCAACAAUCGAACACAGUGUAUAGUAGUUACUGGGUCAGAUGUGUUUCCUGAUCCAUGUCCUGGAACAUACAAAUACCUUGAAGUCCAAUAUGAAUGUGUCCCUUACAGACAUUCACUGAACAAUGCCAGGGAUACAAGUGCCAUGGAUACUCUACCGCUAAAUGGUAAUUUUAACAACAGCUAUUCGCUGCGCAAGAGUGGCUAUAAUGACAGCGUGCAAGUUGUGGACUGUGGACUAAGUCUGAAUGAUACUGCUUUUGAGAAAAUGAUCAUUUCAGAGUUAGUGCACAACAACUUACGGGGCAGCAGCAAGACUCACAACCUUGAGCUCACGCUACCAGUCAAACCUGUGAUUGGAGGUAGCAGCAGUGAAGAUGAUGCUAUUGUGGCAGAUGCUUCAUCUUUAAUGCACAGCGACAACCCAGGGCUGGAGCUCCAUCACAAAGAACUCGAGGCACCGCUUAUUCCUCAGCGGACUCACUCCCUUCUGUACCAACCCCAGAAGAAAGUGAAGUCCGAGGGAACAGACAGCUAUGUCUCCCAGCUGACAGCAGAGGCUGAAGAUCACCUACAGUCCCCCAACAGAGACUCUCUUUAUACAAGCAUGCCCAAUCUUAGAGACUCUCCCUAUCCGGAGAGCAGCCCUGACAUGGAAGAAGACCUCUCUCCCUCCAGGAGGAGUGAGAAUGAGGACAUUUACUAUAAAAGCAUGCCAAAUCUUGGAGCUGGCCAUCAGCUUCAGAUGUGCUACCAGAUCAGCAGGGGCAAUAGUGAUGGUUAUAUAAUCCCCAUUAACAAAGAAGGGUGUAUUCCAGAAGGAGAUGUUAGAGAAGGACAGAUGCAGCUGGUUACAAGUCUUUAAUCAUACAGCUAAGGAAUUCCAAGGGCCACAUGCAAGUAUUAAUAAAUAAAGACACCAUUGGCCUGACGCAGCUCCCUGAAACUCUGCUUGAAGAGAUGACUCUUGACCUGUGGUUCUCCAGUGUAAAAAAGAUGACUGAACCUUGCAGUUCUGUGAAUUUUUAUAAAACAUACAAAAACUUUGUAUAUACACAGAGUAUACUAAAGUGAAUUAUUUGUUACAAAGAAAAGAGAUGCCAACCAGGUAUUUUAAGAUUCUGCUGCUGUUUAGAGAAAUUGUGAAACAAGCAAAACAAAACUUUCCAGCCAUUUUACUGCAGCAGUCUGUGAACUAAAUUUGUAAAUAUGGCUGCACCAUUUUUGUAGGCCUGCAUUGUAUUAUAUACAAGACGUAGGCUUUAAAAUCCUGUGGGACAAAUUUACUGUACCUUACUAUUCCUGACAAGACUUGGAAAAGCAGGAGAGAUAUUCUGCAUCAGUUUGCAGUUCACUGCAAAUCUUUUACAUUAAGGCAAAGAUUGAAAACAUGCUUAACCACUAGCAAUCAAGCCACAGGCCUUAUUUCAUAUGUUUCCUCAACUGUACAAUGAACUAUUCUCAUGAAAAAUGGCUAAAGAAAUUAUAUUUUGUUCUAUUGCUAGGGUAAAAUAAAUACAUUUGUGUCCAACUGAAAUAUAAUUGUCAUUAAAAUAAUUUUAAAGAGUGAAGAAAAUAUUGUGAAAAGCUCUUGGUUGCACAUGUUAUGAAAUGUUUUUUCUUAUACUUUGUCAUGGUAAGUUCUACCCAUUUUCACUUCUUUUCCACUGUAUACAAUGUUCUGCUUUGACAAGUUAGUCUUUAUUACUUACAUUUAAAUUUCUUAUUGCCAAAAGAACGUGUUUUAUGGGGAGAAACAAACUCUUUGAAGCCAGUUAUGCCAUGCCUUGCACAAAAGUGGUGAAAUCUAGAAAAGAUUGUGUGUCACCCCUGUUUAUUCUUGAACAGAGGGCAAAGAGGGCACUGGGCACUUCUCACAAACUUUCUAGUGAACAAAAGGUGCCUAUUCUUUUUUAAAAAAAUAAAAUAAAACAUAAAUAUUACUCUUCCAUAUUCCUUCUUCCUAUAUUUAGUAAUUAAUUUAUUUUAUGAUAAAGUUCUAAUGAAAUGUAAAUUGUUUCAGCAAAAUUCUGCUUUUUUUCAUCCCUUUGUGUAAACCUGUUAAUAAUGAGCCCAUCACUAAUAUCCAGUGUAAAGUUUAACACGGUUUGACAGUAAAUAAAUGUGAAUUUUUUCAAGUAGUUAACAUGUGAA